ACGAAGGGGGCAAGCGUUAUUCGGAAUUAUUGGGCGUAAAGCGUGCGUAGGUGGUUUUUUAAGUCUGAGGUGAAAGCCCAGAGCUCAACUUUUGAAAGCCUUGCGAACUGGAAGACUUGAGUGCAGUAGAGGAAAGUGGAAUUCCUAGUGUAGCGGUGAAAUGCGUAGAUAUUAGGAGGAACACCAGUGGCGAAGGCGACUUUCUGGACUGUAACUGACACUGAGGCACGAAAGCGUGGGGAGCAAACAG
Molecule: ribosomal RNA, 250 nt
Filed under: uncultured prokaryote
Description: partial 16S rRNA
Rfam family: Bacterial small subunit ribosomal RNA
Source: RNAcentral